UACGUAGGGACCGAGCGUUGUCCGGAUUCAUUGGGCGUAAAGAGCUCGUAGGCGGCUGCUCAAGUCGAAUGUGAAACCUCGAGGCUUAACCUCGAGCCUGCAUUCGAUACUGGGCGGCUAGAGUCUGGUAGGGGGAUCUGGAAUUCCUGGUGUAGCGGUGGAAUGCGCAGAUAUCAGGAGGAACACCAAUGGCGAAGGCAGCACUCUGGGACGUGACUGACGCUGAGACGCGAAAGCGUGGGGAGCAAACAGG
This 253-nucleotide ribosomal RNA is filed under the name uncultured bacterium. Its description in RNAcentral is "partial 16S ribosomal RNA". It matches the Rfam family "Bacterial small subunit ribosomal RNA", at positions 524 to 776 of the family's 1533-position model. The record is from RNAcentral.